RNAcentral lists this long non-coding RNA (6294 nucleotides) under Zostera marina. Its description in RNAcentral is "long non-coding RNA (ZMAR_LNC002344)". Lineage: Eukaryota; Viridiplantae; Streptophyta; Magnoliopsida; Alismatales; Zosteraceae. The record is from RNAcentral.
GCUUUUCUUCAGAAGAGCCACGUCGUGGGCUGUGUCGAUCAGAUUGUCCAUGAACACCACGUAGCUUGUGAAUUUGUUUCCGUAGUCUUUGCAUGUUUGCUCUAAGGCCAGGAAGUUACGGUACUCCGAUGAGGUAUUUUCUUGAAUGGUUACUGCCGGGAUCUCCAUGUUCCCGUCUUUGAAGGAGAUAUCUAAGAAACACUUAUUGGUCUCUUUCUUCUUGAAGUGAACCCCGGCUUCUUUCAGUUGCGUGGCUGUGGGGAUCGUUCUGGCCAUUCUUUGAAUAUCUUUUGCCGGAAUGUCGGAUCUGAAAUGGCUCCAACAAGACCACUUCCAGAUUACGACCACGUUAAAACAGACAACCAACGCAUAGAUCAGACCGUGCUUUAAACAGACGAAGAGACGGUCGGAGAGGUUUUUAGGUGGAGAUUCAUCCGACGUCUCUUCCUGGGAAUACUUCAGUUUGCUUACCAGGCAAAGAUGAGACAGAUGGAGAAGAUGAUGGAUUUCUCUUUCCUCCACUGGCAGCGCCUCCUUCGACAUCUUCCCUUUAUAGAGGUAAUGAAGUGCGAUGUCCAGAAUAGUGAGACCUCCGAGAUGGGUGGUAAGAUCCAGAAUUUUUUGAAGAACAAAAAACGGGAUUUGAUUCUCAAACAGUAAGAAAUCCCGGCGUAACGUCGGACCGGCUCUAAGCUGAAACGCCAAAGGAAAUUCUCCGACUCUUCCUUCGGCACGUUUAAGUAAAAACUCGACGAUAAAACAACCGUCAACAACCAACAUCUCUAUAAAAUCAUUGGAAUCUAUUUCGAAUGAUUCGUUGUACAUCCGACGAGCCUCCAGCUCCACCGCCUCCAUGGCAACAACAUACCUCCUCAACGUCUUCUCUUCAUUUCUAUCACAAAUGUGCCUGAGAUACAUGAGCUUGACUUCCUUCAUGGGUUUUAACGCCGGUUUUUCUCGGUGGUAAGGCCCGAUUGCGAUGAUGUUAGGCUCGUAGUCUCUAUCGUGUCCCGCUCGGAUCUCGUUGGGGAUCUUGCAGAUGAUGGGUUGACCGUUGAUCUUCAGUUUAUCAAGUCUUUCCGUCAUAGAACCUAAAACCCAACUAGCGGUUUCUGAUAACUCCUCCUCGGCGGCGUCGAUUGACUGGUCGUAUUCACAGCAACUCCUGACCAACGACACCAAGUCGUAUGCAGACACUCCAUUGUCACCUGUGUCUGCCAUAUUUUCCGGUCACUUUCCAAGUUUCUUUGUUUCUGCGCCAUUUUAUUGCAGCAACAAUAUAAUUGACCAAGUGGCAGGUGAUGAGGUGGAGGUGUGUAUAAAAAAAUAUGGUAUCAGGCUAUCACGCGGAAAAGUCACAUUUGAGUUGUUAUGAUUAAACAACUCAAAUGUGUAACACUUGAGGUGGAUAACUACUUCAGCUAGCGUGCCCAGUUCUCAGCAUUGCUCCGAGGCUAUCGGCUAAUGGACUACGCAGAAGGGAAGAUCGACAUCGUCGAAGGAUCAUCUGAAGAACAGCAAGACCAAAUCAUCUUGAGCUGGAUGCUGUCCGCGAUGUCUCCGGCGAUUCUACCUCAAGUAGCGACUCUGACCACCUCGCACGAGGUGUGGGAAUCUCUUCGGCAAACUCACUCGUCAGACUCAGAGACUCGACUUCUGCAUCUACGAAUGAAAUUACAGACCGUGAGAAAAGGAAACAUGACUAUGACGCAAUAUAUUAAACAUAUUACAAUCGCUAAAGAUAGAUUGGCGGCGGCCGGCGAGAAGCUCCGUGACUCACAGAUAAUACUCAUCGCACUCGGAGGACUAGGUGCGGAGUAUAAAACCUUCGUGACCUCCAUUUCAACACGAUUCGAUCACUCCAUGACAUUUAAUCAAUUCCAACAACUUCUAAUGGACCAAGAACUUCAAGAUGAACAAACUAAGUCUUGAAGCAAAUGCUGUAGCCAAAUUCAACAAGAACGAGGAUAGGAGCUACAACAAUAAAACUUCACCGUGUCAGAUAUGCUCUCGCAAAGGACAUGGUGCUCUGAAUUGCUAUAACAGAGUAAACUUCACAAAGUUUCCACCUACUCACAAAAAAAGUUAAUUUCUAUUGGAAUUGGUACUAGUGCUCCUUCAGCCAGUGCCGUCUCACUGUGGUAUCCGGAUUCCGGAGCGACUACACAUAUAACGGCUAAUGGUAAGCUACUUAAUUUUUCAGAAAAUUAUAAGGGGUCGGAAAAAAUUGUAGCAGCAAAUGGGGAGCCAAUGACUAUUACAGGUUCAGGUAAAAGCACACUGAUUUGCAAAGGAAAGGAGUUUCGGUUAGAGGAUAUACUAAUAGUUCCUCAAACUACUAAGAAUUUGCUUUCUAUUCACCAAUUGUGCACUGACAAUCCCGCCUCUGUCGAAUUUGAUAAACAGAGGGUAAGGAUUCGCGACAUCACAACUAAAGAAAUAAUAGCAGAAGGUAAGGAAGAGGCAGGACUCUAUCAACUACCGAUGAGGACUUCAGGCAGAAUAGAAGCACUGACGUGCGAAAAGAUUUCAGCCGAACGUUGGCAUGCCAGACUGGGACACCUGAAUAAACAGUCAAUGGAAAAAUUAAACAAAAUAAAUGUAAAAUCAUCGAAAUGUAAAAAUAUACCAAUGUGUGACUCGUGUUUGUCAAAUAAAUCAACUUCCUUACCGCACAAAACCAGCAGUACAAUCUACUCGGCUCCGCUAGAUCUAAUAUUCACGGAUAUUUGGGGUCCAGCCCUGGUCGUGUCGGCAGAAGGUUUUCGUUAUUACGUCAACUUCGUAGACACCGUCACCAAUUACAAUUGGGUGUUCCCGUUAAAAAGCAAAGCAGAGGUAGAAACGAUCUACCAACAAUUUCAAAAGUAUGCUGAAUGGCAAUGUGGAACUCAGAUCAAAGAGGUCCAGUAGGAUAAUGCUAUGGAAUUCAGAAAACUUGCAAAGAGUCUAGAAAAAUCAGGAGUUGGGUAUCGAUUUUCAGCCCCAUACAGUCACCAACAAAUGGGUUCGGUCGAAAGGCGGCACAGGCAUCUGAUAGAUACAGCUCUCACAAUGUUAAAACAUGUCAGUAUACCAGUCGUAUACUGGGACUAUGCAGUAUUAACGGAAGCAUACAUAUAUAACAGGAAUCCGUCAAAAAAUUUGAAUAAUACGUCGCCAUAUGAGGCUCUCUUCCAACGAACUCCGGAUUAUCGGAAAUUACGAGUAUUUGGGUCAAAAUGUUACCCAUGUCUUCGCAGUUACAGGGAAAACAAAUUGUUACAAAAAUCAAUUCCAUGUGUGUUUUUAGGAUAUCCACACAAUCAGGAUGCAUAUAUGUGUUACGAUCCCGUCGGCCGGAAGAUGUACAUCUCAAGAGAUGUGCGUUUCAACGAAGAAGACUUCACGCUAAAUAAACCAUUAUGCGAGGAGGAAAAAGCAAAAGUAUCUGUCUCAAAUUCACAAAUCAAGAAACGAACUACCUACUGCCCUAUUUUUCAAAACUAUCCAAUCGUCACCGGACAAAAUCAACCAACCGAACCAAGUUCGAAAGAGGUAUCGGGCAAUCGAUCAGUAGAAGAAUCAGUGAAUAAAAGGGGAGCGGAUCCAAGUGCAUAAAUUCAUUCUAACCCAAAUGAGGUCAACAAAACGUUGGGUGAUGUAGUGGGUCCAAAUACGUCAACCCACAACGAAUCUGAUCAAGGGCACACAAGCGCAACCGAUGAAGAGUCACUGCCGGGUUCCACGACAAGUUCCGGAUACCCAAAUACAUUCUCAUCGUCAACAGAGAAUACGUCAUCAGAAAUUCAAAUAAACAAUGCACAGGAAGAAAUUCUCGGAAAUCGGCCGGUCACAAGAGCAUCAAAAAGGAUAGUAAAGCCAAACCCUCGAUACGCGCUGUCGGUAGCAGCCAUCGGCAUACCACGAUCUCCAAAAACAGCUAUGCUAGAUGAAAACUGGAAAUUGGCAAUGGAGUCGGAGUACAAUGCUUUAAAGAAAAAUCAAACUUGGGUAUUGAUAGACAAGUCACCAGAGGACAAUGUUAUUAAUACAAAGUGGAUUUUUAAAAUCAAGCAGCGCGAAGAUGGUUCCAUCGAGCGAUACAAAGCUAGGUGGGUGGCCAACGGAAUGAGACAGAUCGAAGGAACAGACUACACACAUACGUUUAGCCCGGUGGUGAAGGCAACUUCAGUCCGACUAGUUCUCACAUUGGCAAUUAGCAGAGAUUGGUCACUCAAACAAAUUGACAUUUCAAACGCUUUUUUUCACGGGGAGAUUGAUGAACGCAUAGUGGUUACACAGCCAGCCGGUUUUGAAGAUCCGGAGCAUCCUACCCAAGUGUGCCUACUCAAGAAAGCACUCUACGGACUGAAACAGUCACCCCGGAUGUGGUACCGAAGACUACGAAAUUUCUUAACAGAUAUCGGAUUCAAUGAAAAUUUCGCGGACCCAUCACUGUUUAUAUGGGGUCAAAACAAUGAAACAAUAUUUCUAUUCGCAUACGUCGAUGAUAUAGUAAUAACGGGAUCAUCGAAAGAAAAAAUAGAAGAAGUCACAACAAAAUUAGCAAACGAAUUUGCACUAAGGGAAUUAAGGGAGUUAUCAUACUUUCUUGGAAUUAAGGUCCGACCAAGAAAACACUCUUCCUGUCCCAGCAACAAUACUUGGUGAAUCUAUUGGAAAGCUGCGACUUGACAAAUCUAAAACCGUCAAUUACUCCGAUGAUAGCCCAACAAGAUCUCUUCUCAGAAGAAGCUCCUAUUACUCAAUCUACGGAAUAUCGAAGAAUAAUUGGAUCACUUCAAUACCUCACGUUAACUCGGCCGGACAUCCAAUUUUCAGUAAACAAAUUUGCACAGUUUAUGGUGGCACCAAAACCACUACAUUGGGUUGUGUUGAAAAAGAUACUACGCUACCUAUCUGGAACCCAAACAUUUGGGAUAACACUGAAGGCAGUAACAAACUUCACCCUCACCGGCUAUUGUGACGCAGAUUGGGGGGACGACACGACCGAUCGAAGGAGCCAAACAGGAAUGUUGAUAUACCUAGGAGAAACUCUAGUAAACUGGUCAUCACGCAAACAGGUCACGGUGGCCAGAUCAAGCACCGAAGCCGAAUACAGAGCAAUAGCAAACACAGUUGAAGAAUUGCAGGCAACAAAAUCGUUACUUACGGAACUUGGGGUAGCAAUUCAAACACCAAUGAAACUACUAAGUGGUAAUCAGGGGGCAACAUUUGUGGCAAACAAUCCUAUAUGUCAUACAAAGCUCAGGCACGUAGCAAUGGAUUUACAUUUCGUACGGGAGAAGACGGACGCAGGAAAGAUAGAAGUCAAACACGUUUCUGGAAAGCUACAACGAGCUGACAUCCUAACAAAAGCACUAAAGCCAGAUGUAUAUCAAAGAUUACGAGUCAACCUCGUCGGAGAGUCCCCGUCGGUUGAGGGGGGCGUGUUAAAGUAAUAAUCGAUUAGUUAUUUAGGAAAGUAGUUAGCAAUAACAGAGUGUAAUUAGUAUAAAUAAACACCAAAAUCAAAGGUAAAUAACACAAUCAAUUUCACCCAUCUUUGCGUCGUCACUGUUCGUCUUCUUCCUCCCUCCGAUCAUCGUCGAUCAAUCUUCCGAUAGAUUCAAUUAUUGGCAUUAUAUAAAAAAGAUUUUGAAGAGGAUCGAAGAAGGAAGAGUAGUAAGAAGAGACGAUACACAGAUAUCGGAAUGGAAGUUUCGACGCAAAAGAGUACACAGAUCUCUAGGAUCGGAAAUUAUAUAAUCAAUUAAUAGAAUAUGCAGUUUGCAGAGUGGUGAGGAUAAUAAGUACGAUAGCACCCAUAAGUGAAAUAAUGGCCCACGGACUGCUCAGGUAAUCAUGCAUCAGGGUAGCCCGCCACCGGUUGAUAGUUUUAUUACAGUAACUGUUCACAUCAUUGAAGAUUCCGACGAGAUAAUGUUUAUUAAAAUCGAAGCACAGUCCUGAACGAAUUUCGUUGAAAAACGUCGCCACGUCCACCGUGCACCCAAGCUUGCUCUCUAUGAUUUUGCUUUUCUUCAGAAGAGCCACGUCGUGGGCUGUGUCGAUCAGAUUGUCCAUGAACACCACGUAGCUUGUGAACUUGUUUCCGUAGUCUUUGCAUUUUUGCUCUAAGGCCAGGAAGUUACGGUACUCCGAUGAGGUAUUUUCUUGAAUGGUUACUGCCGGGAUCUCCAUGUUCCCGUCUUUGAAGGAGAUAUCUAAGAAACACUUAUUGGUCUCUUUCUUCUUGAAGUGAACCCCGGCUUCUUUCAUUUGCGUGGCUGUGGGGAUCGUUCUGGCCAU